UACGAAGGGGGCUAGCGUUGUUCGGAUUUACUGGGCGUAAAGCGCACGUAGGCGGAUUGGUCAGUUAGAGGUGAAAUCCCGAAGCUCAACUUCGGAACUGCCUUUAAUACUGUCAGUCUAGAGUCCGGAAGAGGUAAGUGGAACUCCUAGUGUAGAGGUGGAAUUCGUAGAUAUUAGGAAGAACACCAGUGGCGAAGGCGGCUUACUGGUCCGGUACUGACGCUGAGGUGCGAAAGCGUGGGGAGCAAACAGG
Molecule: ribosomal RNA, 253 nt
Filed under: uncultured bacterium
Lineage: Bacteria
Description: partial 16S ribosomal RNA
Rfam family: Bacterial small subunit ribosomal RNA
Source: RNAcentral